Molecule: non-coding RNA, 26 nt
Filed under: Homo sapiens (human)
Lineage: Eukaryota; Metazoa; Chordata; Mammalia; Primates; Hominidae
Source: RNAcentral
AAGGGGAAUGGUUGAGCCUCUGGAGA